RNAcentral lists this long non-coding RNA (616 nucleotides) under Mytilus galloprovincialis (Mediterranean mussel). Lineage: Eukaryota; Metazoa; Mollusca; Bivalvia; Mytilida; Mytilidae. The record is from RNAcentral.
UCGGCCUUAUAAAACAUAUUAUAAAGGUCUUAUUUAUUUAACAAAUCUUAUAAUCAAUUUCUUUUAACUCAAUUCAGAGAAACUCAAACCUCUAUAUAUCACACAGGUUUUCAGCAGUAUCAUAUUUUUUUCUUCAGUUCUCCAUAUUGUUUUUUUUAAAACUUUUUUCAUUUUUCUUAAAUAUACCGCCACGCCAACAAAAGAUGUGUAAUAUAAAGGCUAGAGUUUUUUUGGGGGAAAUUCUAAUAUUUUGAUAUCUCAGCAUAAUUUCAACUUAAUUUUGGUGGUUACUUAAAAAGAAACAUAAUAAUUUAAUAAACAUAUAUAAACAUUUAUAACUUAUUAAUUAGGGACUUUUUAACAGUAAAGUAGUAAGCCGAUUCUUCACAGGAUUCGGGAUGUAGUUAAAUGCAAUAAGUCAUCUGCAGACUUCAUUUCUGGGAACAUGUAUAUUUAGAAAAUACAGGAAAUGGAUCAUCAGCCCUUAAAAACAUCCUUAUUUUUUAAAUGUCUAAUUUAAAGUCAAAUUAUAGUAAGAGAAGCUCUAACCUCUACAUCACAAAACUCUCAGCAGAACUACUCUCAGCAGAACUGUCUUCUUUGUACAACAUAUGAU